GACGAACGCUGGCGGCGUGCUUAACACAUGCAAGUCGAACGGAAAGGCCCUGCUUGCUGGGUACUAGAGUGGCGAACGGGUGAGUAACACGUGGGUGAUCUGCCCUGCACUUCGGGAUAAGCUUGGGCAACUGGGUCUAAUACCGGAUAGGAACCAUCUUUAGCGUGGUGGUUGGAAAGUUUUUUCGGUGUAGGAUGAGCUGGCGGCCUAUCAGCUUGUUGGGGGGGUAAUGGCCUACCAAGGCGGCGACGGGUAGCCGGCCUGUGAGGGUGUACGGCCACAUUGAGACUGAGGGACGGCCCAGACGCCUACGGGAGGCAGCAGGGGGGAAGAUUGCACAAUGGGCGCAAGCCUGAUGCAGCGACGCCGCGUGGGGGAUGAAGGCCUUCGGGUUGUAGACUCCUUUCGCUAGGGACGAAGCUUUUUGUGACGGUACCUAGAUAAGAAGCACCGGCUAACUACGUG
RNAcentral lists this ribosomal RNA (465 nucleotides) under uncultured bacterium. RNAcentral's name for it is "partial 16S ribosomal RNA". It matches the Rfam family "Bacterial small subunit ribosomal RNA", at positions 28 to 507 of the family's 1533-position model. The record is from RNAcentral.